AAUCAACGCUGGCGGCGUGCCUCAGACAUGCAAGUCGAACGAUUAAAGCUCUCUUCGGAGAGUGCAUAGAGUGGCGCACGGGUGAGUAACACGUAAGUAAUCUACCUUCGAGUGGGGAAUAACGUCCGGAAACGGACGCUAAUACCGCAUAAUGCAGCGGCAUCGCAAGAUGACAGUUGUUAAAGGAGCAAUUCGCUUGAAGAGGAGCUUGCGGCAGAUUAGCUUGUUGGUAAGGUAACGGCUUACCAAGGCUACGAUCUGUAACCGGCCUAAGAGGACGGUCGGUCACACUGACACUGAAUAACGGGUCAGACUCCUACGGGAGGCAGCAGUCGGGAAUUUUGGGCAAUGGGGGAAACCCUGACCCAGCAACGCCGCGUGAAGGAUGAAGUAUUUCGGUAUGUAAACUUCGAAAGAAUAGGAAGAAUAAAUGACGGUACUAUUUAUAAGGUCCGCUAACUACGUGCCAGCCGCCG
Molecule: ribosomal RNA, 476 nt
Filed under: uncultured bacterium
Lineage: Bacteria
Description: bacterial SSU rRNA
Rfam family: Bacterial small subunit ribosomal RNA
Source: RNAcentral